GCAGAGCAUCCUACGGGAGGCAGCAGUGGGGAAUAUUGCACAAUUGGGCGCAAGCCUGAUGCAGCCAUGCCGCGUGUAUGAAGAAGGCCUUCGGGUUGUAAAGUACUUUCAGCAGUGAGGAAGGUGGAUAUGUUAAUAGCAUAUUCAUUUGACGUUAGCUGCAGAAGAAGCACCGGCUAACUCCGUGCCAGCAGCCGCGGUAAUACGGAGGGUGCGAGCGUUAAUCGGAAUUACUGGGCGUAAAGCGCAUGCAGGUGGUUUGUUAAGUCAGAUGUGAAAGCCCGGGGCUCAACCUCGGAAUUGCAUUUGAAACUGGCAAACUAGAGUACUGUAGAGGGGGUAGAAUUUCAGGUGUAGCGGUGAAAUGCGUAGAGAUCUGAAGGAAUACCGGUGGCGAAGGCGGCCCCCCUGGACAGAUACUGACACUCAGAUGCGAAAGCGUGGGGAGCAAACAGGAUUAGAUACCCUGGUAG
Molecule: ribosomal RNA, 473 nt
Filed under: uncultured bacterium
Lineage: Bacteria
Description: bacterial SSU rRNA
Rfam family: Bacterial small subunit ribosomal RNA
Source: RNAcentral